This 108-nucleotide ribosomal RNA is filed under the name Rhodopirellula sp. Lineage: Bacteria; Pseudomonadati; Planctomycetota; Planctomycetia; Pirellulales; Pirellulaceae. RNAcentral also lists the same sequence under 1 other name. The record is from RNAcentral.
CCCGGUGACCAUAUUGAAAGGGCCACACCUGUUCCCAUACCGAACACAGUAGUUAAGCCUUUCAAGCCGAUGAUAGUGCCAAAAGCGCGAAAGUAGGUAUCGCCGGGU